AUAGUACCACAACGGGUCAGUGCAUCUGGCUGUUAACCAGAAGGUUGGUGGUUCAAGCUGACCCAGGAGUG
This is a non-coding RNA of Podarcis lilfordi (Lilford's wall lizard), 71 nucleotides long. The record is from the annotation of a GenBank genome assembly. NCBI's taxonomy places the organism in Eukaryota, Metazoa, Chordata, Lepidosauria, Squamata, Lacertidae.